RNAcentral lists this microRNA precursor (105 nucleotides) under Medicago truncatula (barrel medic). RNAcentral's name for it is "miRNA gene6578". The stretch from base 6 to 99 matches the Rfam family "MIR2587 microRNA precursor family". The record is from RNAcentral. Lineage: Eukaryota; Viridiplantae; Streptophyta; Magnoliopsida; Fabales; Fabaceae.
CGGUGGUGUCAUGGUCAUUGUUGUCCGUUCAUAUGAACCCUGCAAUUGCAUUGUAGUUUGUGUGAGAUUCAUAUAACGGUCAACAGAGGCCCUUGACAUUAAAGA